GGUUGAGCGGUGGUUUCAUAAGCGAGAGAUCCCCGGUUCGAAUCCUGGUC
This 50-nucleotide transfer RNA is filed under the name Tetraselmis striata. Its description in RNAcentral is "partial tRNA". The record is from RNAcentral. Lineage: Eukaryota; Viridiplantae; Chlorophyta; Chlorodendrophyceae; Chlorodendrales; Chlorodendraceae.